Aethalodelphis obliquidens (Pacific white-sided dolphin) is the source of this 437-nucleotide long non-coding RNA. RefSeq lists it as uncharacterized. NCBI's taxonomy places the organism in Eukaryota, Metazoa, Chordata, Mammalia, Artiodactyla, Delphinidae. The transcript has 3 exons. The record is from RefSeq and is a predicted model, not a curated record.
CCUGGGCGCCGUGAUUUCCUCGCCCUGGACUUCUCACACUUCAGUGCGCUCACGCGUCACCUGGGGCGGCUCGUUAAGAUGCAGAUUCAGACCCAGCCUCUGAGAUCCUCAGUUCUGACCUGUUCCCAGGUGUUGCUGCUGCUGCUUGUCUAGGGCCACGUGAAGAACGAGGCCCCAUUUGCUAGGCUGUCUUUGUGAUGAGCUCGGAGCCCAGUGCAUUUCAACAGCGCUCCGGCAGCAGGGGUGGGAGGUCUAGCGCUGGGCUCUCCGGAUUGAGCUGUGCUGUGAGUUUAAACUAUCCACCAGGUUUUGAAGACUUAGAAUAAAAUGAUAGUAUGAGUGUCAUGAGAUCAGGGACAUCGCCUGCUCGCAGCUCCUGGAACAGCGCCUGGCAUGAGCCAUCGUGGUGGGUGUGAAGUGGCAUCUCAUUGUGGUUG